Molecule: long non-coding RNA, 263 nt
Filed under: Homo sapiens (human)
Lineage: Eukaryota; Metazoa; Chordata; Mammalia; Primates; Hominidae
Description: HSALNT0188986
Source: RNAcentral
UUUUUUUGGUACAGACAGGGCCUCACUAUGUUGCCCAAGCUGGUCUGGAACUCCUGGACUCAGGUGAUCCUCCUGCCUUGGCCUCCCAAAGUUCUGGGAUUACAGGCGUGAGCCUCUGCGCCCAACCUAUUUUCUUUAUUUCUUACGACUGUAGUUUGUGGCUCUAGUCAGACAACCUGUCCUCACAUGAGGGCUUCACCCACUCCUCACUGCACAGGGCAGGCUGUUCCACCAUCUGGGAUGUCCCACCUCCUCUGUUACAG